RNAcentral lists this ribosomal RNA (374 nucleotides) under uncultured organism. RNAcentral describes it as "bacterial SSU rRNA". It matches the Rfam family "Bacterial small subunit ribosomal RNA", at positions 526 to 896 of the family's 1533-position model. The record is from RNAcentral.
CAGAGGUCUCAAGCGUUGUUCGGAUUCAUUGGGUGUAAAGGGUGCGUAGGCGGCGCGGUAAGUCGGGUGUGAAAUUUCGAGGCUUAACUUCGAAACUGCAUUCGAUACUGCCGUGCUCGAGGACUGGAGAGGAGGCUGGAAUUUACGGUGUAGCGGUGAAAUGCGUAGAUAUCGUAAGGAAGACCAGUGGCGAAGGCGGGGCUCUGGACAGUUCCUGACGCUGAGGCACGAAGGCCAGGGGGAGCAAACGGGAUUAGAUACCCCCGGUAGUCCUGGCAAUAAACGGUGCACGUUUGGUGUGGGAGGAUUCGACCCCUUCUGCGCCGGAGCUAACGCGUUAAACGUGCCGCCUGGGGAGUACGGUCGCAAGAUUA